ACCAGUUUAUAUUGUAAACAUGAACCCAGAGUCUCCAUCCAGCAGAGGGCGCCAGGCACCGGAGGAGACCCGCUGCUGACGGAUGAGGCUGUGUGGCUUGCCUGGGCUAACGCCAACUGUGAGCUGUCUGCAGCGGUGGGAUCAUGCUUCAGGGAUGCCAGCAGAAUGCCAGCAGAAUGCCACCCCACUGGCAUGGUGCUAAGCUGGAGGCAGUCACAGAACCUACAUCAACAAGGAGAGGACUGUCCAGCAAGAAUCCCCCAAAAAGAAAAAAAAAAGAACCCCCAAGAGAUUUCUAGGGGCUCCCAUUGGCCUGGGGCUCACUAGGCUCUCCCCCUGGGGUCCCUCCCAGCGCCAUUCCACAGCCAAGGAAACAGAAGCCCAGGAAGGGUAAGUGAAUUAUUGGGCAAAGAGACUCCCCUCCUGAGGUAAAGGAGAUUUUGCAGGCCUGAGGUGGGGCAGAGGGAUGGGGUGGGGGUGGGGUUGGGGGGGGGAGGUUGGGGAUUCCUUAGUCCCACCUCAGCAAUGGGGAUGGGGAUGACCAGCCCGGAAGACAAGGAGGGGAGAGAAGUGACAGAGAAAAGACACAGCAUUGGACUAUGACAUGAGUAAGCACCAAGUCACCCCCAAGAUCCUAGGGGGCCCUAGGUCCCCUUGUUCUUGUACUCCCCAAACCUGUUCCCACGAAAAGCAGAGUCCAACUCUCCUGGGACCCCAGCUCCUUCCUUUCUGCGAGGCAAAAAAAGGGCUGAAGCCCUAGUGAUCACCAGAGCCAGGCACUUCAGAACAAGGCAGGAGUCAAGGGAUCUUUGCCCCCUCCCUCCCUCCCUGCAGUCCUGCCCUCACUCUGCAGGAUUCUGACUUCGGAGAUCUCCGCUAAAAUAUGCCUUUGGCCCUUGUCACGGGCUUUGUUCAGGUCCUAACCCCAGUACCUUGGAAUACGCCCAUAAUGGGAGAAAGGGUCUUUAGAGAGAUGAUCAAAGUAAAAUGAAGUCAUGAGGGUGGGCCCCAAUGCAAUAUGCCUGGUCUCCUCAUAAGAAGAAAACAUUUGGACACAGAUGGGUCUAGAGGACAGAUCAUGUGGAGACGCAGGGAGAAGAUGGCCAUCUGCAAGCCACAGAGAGAGACUUCAGAAGAAACAGCCCUGCCAGCGCCUUGAUCUUGAACUUCCAACCUCCAGACUGUGAGAGAAUAAAUUUGUUAUACCCCAAU
This 1212-nucleotide long non-coding RNA is filed under the name Canis lupus familiaris (dog). RNAcentral describes it as "lncRNA (ENSCAFG00000057797.1)". Lineage: Eukaryota; Metazoa; Chordata; Mammalia; Carnivora; Canidae. The record is from RNAcentral.